AAAAAAUAAAUCACAAGUUCCAAGGUAAAGGUGUUUGUAGCCUGUUUUAAUUCCAGUUAUGUGUCUGCUGUCAAUAUUAAAAAUAUCAAUUGUGAGCAUCAAAUUGAUCUUCCAAGGAAAUAAAAGCAUGCAUUCACACAUGUGAUGGAUGGGUUCUUAUUCAAAACAAUUUGAAUACUUGCAAAUCACUAACUACCUUCUUCACUAAAAUGCGUAGAUUAUAUGAAGUGAAGGAUGAG
This 239-nucleotide unclassified non-coding RNA is filed under the name Hevea brasiliensis (rubber tree). The record is from RNAcentral. Lineage: Eukaryota; Viridiplantae; Streptophyta; Magnoliopsida; Malpighiales; Euphorbiaceae.